This 122-nucleotide ribosomal RNA is filed under the name Chroogomphus asiaticus. RNAcentral describes it as "5.8S ribosomal RNA". It matches the Rfam family "5.8S ribosomal RNA", at positions 1 to 120 of the family's 154-position model. Rfam says of the family: 5.8S ribosomal RNA (5.8S rRNA) is a component of the large subunit of the eukaryotic ribosome. It is transcribed by RNA polymerase I as part of the 45S precursor that also contains 18S and 28S rRNA. Functionally, it is thought that 5.8S rRNA may be involved in ribosome translocation. The record is from RNAcentral. Lineage: Eukaryota; Fungi; Basidiomycota; Agaricomycetes; Boletales; Gomphidiaceae.
CAACUUUCAGCAAUGGAUCUCUUGGCUCUCGCAUCGAUGAAGAACGCAGCGAAUUGCGAUAUGUAAUGUGAAUUGCAGAUUUACAGUGAAUCAUCGAAUCUUUGAACGCACAUUGCGCUCCU